UCCUGUGCUCAGCGGUCUUAAGAACAAUAAUAACGACAACAACCACAAUAGCCACCAUUUAUUGAGCGCUUGCUCUGUGCCAGGCACUGUGUUAAGCGCUUUGCAGGCAACAACCCUCGGAGGUUUUUCCUGUCCCCGCACUGAUCGUUGGUCACCUUUUGAGAGAAAAGAACACUGAUCCCAUUAAAAGGCCCUGUUGUUUGCCAGAUGAGGUCACCAGACUGGUAAGUAGCAAGGCUGGGACUCCACUAGGAAUAUCUGACUUUAAAAGCCAUGUUCCUGUCACCCAGAAUGCACAUGCUGAUGCAGCUGAACAGAAGAGGUAAGAGACAAACCAUGCCAAACACAAACCAAGAUUUGCCCUAAGAGUGCUCAGAAAUACCACAUGUGAAUCAGGGGCUUCAAUAACUUUCUGAGCCUCAAUCUGGGACUCUGUCUAAAACAGAAAAACAAACCUCAAAGUGCAAUGAGAGAAGAAUAGGAAUGAGGCAUUUAGCUUUCCCUUGGAAGAGCAGCUGGAGAGGCCCACUCACUUUCUAUGUCUGGGCUCUGAGGAAAUAAAGGUGGUUCUAGGAAAAUCUGAAAAGUAAGAGAGGAAAAAAAAAAAAUCCCUUCUGUGGUUUUUUCUUUAACCAAGCCUCAUUUUGCUAUUUGUGUUUUAUUUUAAAACUAAUGUGGCUCUCCCCACCCUUUAAAUUGGCACGUAAAUAGCAAAAACAGAAGGAAGGCCAGCUACAAACUUCAAAUGUGGUGGGUUUCUCAGGAAGGAGGUACAUGACUUGAAGUGGAAAUGAGGAUUAAAUGAGGUGCCUUAAACAUUUCAAAGACAGACUUUCCACAAGGACUGUGGAUCAUAAGCCUUUAGAACAGGAGCUUUGUCUGGGUUUGGGCUCAGUAGAGUGUCGAGAAUUUGUGAGUGCCCCAAAAUGUGGAAAACGAAUCACACUUCUAGUGUCUGUCUGCAUCAUCUAAUCAUCUCGGCCACCGCUCUGCUUACUGCUUUAAAGGUUGGCUUCUGGAGGAUUUUCCUGUUCUCAGAUGUCAGACACACAUCCUCCCUCAGACCCCUUACUUUUCCAGAAGUUUGCUCUGGGAAUUCAGUCAAGGUGAGGCAAUGGUUGAUGAUAUCACUAGGCUUGUUUGAAGAGAUUGACAGGCCAGCUCUGGAAUCACCAACUGGAGGUUUUUCCAAACUGGGAAACCAAAGCAGAAGGGACUUCAUGAGACUUGUCACUAACAGUUCUGAUUUUCUUGCCCUAUGUCUUUGAACUAGAAGGAUUCCCCUCUUACCCAACACAAGAGAGACCUGAAUAUCCCAGGCUGCCUCUUGCAAAAUUCUUGCACCUCUUCGACCUUCCUUGCUGCUGCUUCCCUCAUUCUUUCAGUGCGUUCAUUCUACAAACAUGCGACGAGGGCCCAUGAUGUGUAGAUCCUAGUGGCAGAGCAGAGAACCUAACAUGAGCUCAGAAGCUUACUUUCUCCCAUUCCCUCCUGGUUUCUAACCUCAUGGCUUCAACUUCCACACCUGGAGAGGUCCCAUGAUGGUAAAUGACUUGCUUCUCCAGGUAAGGACUGCUGCUCAGACAUACCUGACAUUCUACCAGCUCCUUCGGCCGCUCUCUGAGAUCAUACCCUGGGACCCUGACACCACAGUGAUGACACCGAUUUGGUAGAAGGUUUGGGUCCUGAGAUACCUUCAGAAGCAGGGCUCAGAAAUGCUCCAGCUCCAGCAUUUGCCCUUGCUCCUCCCCAUCCCUUUCCAGUUGCCACUCCAGUUUAUAAGAUCGCUGUUUUCCAAAAUAGCACAGGCUAUAUUUAUGAAGCAUCUAUUAUGAUGAAAAAUCCUGUAGUGCCAUAAUACCCUACUGUCCAAAGGAAAAUGUUGGCUUAAACAAACAACAGUGACUAUCUGGCAAA
This is a long non-coding RNA of Phacochoerus africanus (Common warthog), 1917 nucleotides long. RefSeq lists it as uncharacterized. The record is from RefSeq and is a predicted model, not a curated record. The transcript is spliced from 3 exons. Lineage: Eukaryota; Metazoa; Chordata; Mammalia; Artiodactyla; Suidae.